Molecule: long non-coding RNA, 632 nt
Organism: Bradysia coprophila
Lineage: Eukaryota; Metazoa; Arthropoda; Insecta; Diptera; Sciaridae
Source: RefSeq, a predicted model, not a curated record
AUCUUCAUCGAUGUCAUUAGUUUACCGAAAAUUGUCAACUGCAAUCAUACAUUUUUAUACAAUGAAGUCGGUCGUUUUUGUCAUUCUCGUGUCAUUUGGGACAAUUGCGGCUGUUGGUGGAUCUGCCACAUCUAUAUCAACUCUGUCAUCGGUAUUAAAAUCACCGAAAUCAUUGGAAGAUUUGGCCAUUGUUGAUGAAUUUUUAACAAACUGUCCUGACGCGAGUCUUCACGUAGACCUUUGUAUAUCAGCAGCUAAUCCAGGUGACGGUGCAGACGCGUGUGUGAUGGGCCUUCUUUUAUUGAAUUGCACCGCAAGAGCUAUUACAGCUAACCCCACAUGUUCUGGUGCUAUAGAAGCAACAGCUGCCGUGACACGACUUAGGCUAGCCCAUGAAGCGGAAUGUGCUGCUCAAGAUAACUCUUCUGUUUCAGUUGUUGCUGGACUUUCCACGGUAAUUAUUAUGACGUGUUUUAACCUACUUCAAUGACAAAGGGUAAUGUAACGUAUGUAAGUAGUCAAUUAUGUAACAUCAUAAGUUUUGAUUCACUAAGAUUUUCGUUGAUUUUGAGCGUAACAAUUGUGAUAAUUCGAACGAAAAAUAAAAAUGAAAGGAUUUUGUGCUUGAAACA